Molecule: small nucleolar RNA, 93 nt
Filed under: Marchantia polymorpha subsp. ruderalis
Lineage: Eukaryota; Viridiplantae; Streptophyta; Marchantiopsida; Marchantiales; Marchantiaceae
Source: RNAcentral
AGAAGGCAGAGGAUGAGAAAGGUUUUAAUGGGUAAUUUGCAACUGAUCUCUGUGAUGAUCACUCGCCUUCACCUUGGAGAACUGAUGCCUUCG